AUACUGUGACAGUUGCAUCGUUCAGCAGAUUGAAUCAUGAAGAGAUAUAUACCAUCUGUUUGCUGUAUCU
Small nucleolar RNA from Pongo abelii (Sumatran orangutan), 70 nucleotides. Lineage: Eukaryota; Metazoa; Chordata; Mammalia; Primates; Hominidae. The record is from Ensembl.